UGGUGCAUGGGCAAGUGAAGUGCCCUGCGCGGCGUGGGCCAGCGGUUGGAGGGCGCCAAGAGGCCUUUCCGCUUGCGGACUGGAACCAGGGCGCGUGGAAGACUGUUUGGUCUGCGUUCGGCAACUAAGGGCGACGGCUUACGCGCGUCGUUGUCGCCACGGUGCUGGCUCGUAACGGUCGCGUGCGACACGUGCUUGCCGGGGCAGUGGUUGCGGCGGCGUGCCCGUCCCUGGGCUCGGUGUAACAGUUGGUCAUCUCUCCGACCCGUCUUGAAACACGGACCAAGGAGUUUAACGUAUACGCGAGUCAUUGGGCGUCAAACCCAAAGGCGCAAUGAAAGUGAAGUGACAUGUGAGUGUUGGCUCUUGCUAUCACGCAGCAUGGCCCCGUCCCGAUCGCUUGCGAUGGGGCGGAGGCACAGCGUAUGCGCUGAGACCCGAAAGAUGGUGAACUAUUCCUGAGCAGGACGAAGCCAGAGGAAACUCUGGUGGAAGUCCGAAGCGGUUCUGACGUGCAAAUCGAUCGUCUGACUUGGGUAUAGGGGCGAAA
RNAcentral lists this ribosomal RNA (550 nucleotides) under Malenchus undulatus. RNAcentral's name for it is "eukaryotic LSU rRNA". It matches the Rfam family "Eukaryotic large subunit ribosomal RNA", at positions 595 to 928 of the family's 3401-position model. The record is from RNAcentral. Lineage: Eukaryota; Metazoa; Nematoda; Chromadorea; Rhabditida; Tylenchidae.